UACGAAGGGGGCUAGCGUUGUUCGGAAUUACUGGGCGUAAAGCGCGUGUAGGCGGGUCUUUAAGUCAGGGGUGAAAUCCUGGAGCUCAACUCCAGAACUGCCUUUGAUACUGAAGAUCUUGAGUUCGGGAGAGGUGAGUGGAACUGCGAGUGUAGAGGUGAAAUUCGUAGAUAUUCGCAAGAACACCAGUGGCGAAGGCGGCUCACUGGCCCGAUACUGACGCUGAGGCACGAAAGCGUGGGGAGCAAACAGG
This 253-nucleotide ribosomal RNA is filed under the name uncultured bacterium. Its description in RNAcentral is "partial 16S ribosomal RNA". It matches the Rfam family "Bacterial small subunit ribosomal RNA", at positions 524 to 776 of the family's 1533-position model. The record is from RNAcentral.